UAGACAUGUCGGGUGAACUAAGGUUACAGU
RNAcentral lists this non-coding RNA (30 nucleotides) under Rattus norvegicus (Norway rat). The record is from RNAcentral. Lineage: Eukaryota; Metazoa; Chordata; Mammalia; Rodentia; Muridae.